GAUGAACGCUGGCGGCGUGCUUAACACAUGCAAGUCGAACGGAGUUUAUAUGAUUGAGGAUUCGUCCAAAUGAUUAUAAACUUAGUGGCGGACGGGUGAGUAACGCGUGAGUAACCUGCCUUGGAGUGGGGAAUAACACAGAGAAAUUUGUGCUAAUACCGCAUAAUGCAUUUGUAUCGCAUGGUACUGAAUGCCAAAGAUUUAUCGCUCUGAGAUGGACUCGCGUCUGAUUAGCUAGUUGGCGGGUAACGGCCACUAGCCUACGAUGGAUAGGGGUUCUGAGAGGAAGGUCCCCCANACUGGAACUGAGACACGGUCCAGACUCCUACGGGAGCAGCAGUGAGGAAUAUUGGUCAAUGGUACUGACGACUGAACCAGCCAUGCCGCGU
This 389-nucleotide ribosomal RNA is filed under the name uncultured bacterium. RNAcentral's name for it is "bacterial SSU rRNA". It matches the Rfam family "Bacterial small subunit ribosomal RNA", at positions 28 to 402 of the family's 1533-position model. The record is from RNAcentral.